This 497-nucleotide ribosomal RNA is filed under the name uncultured bacterium. RNAcentral's name for it is "partial 16S ribosomal RNA". It matches the Rfam family "Bacterial small subunit ribosomal RNA", at positions 28 to 507 of the family's 1533-position model. The record is from RNAcentral.
GAUGAACGCUGGCGGCGUGCCUAAUACAUGCAAGUAGAACGCUGAAGGAAGGAGCUUGCUCUUUCCGGAUGAGUUGCGAACGGGUGAGUAACGCGUAGGUAACCUGCCUGGUAGCGGGGGAUAACUAUUGGAAACGAUAGCUAAUACCGCAUAACAGUAGAUGUUGCAUGAUAUCUACUUAAAAGGUGCAAUUGCACCACUACCAGAUGGACCUGCGUUGUAUUAGCUAGUUGGUGAGGUAACGGCUCACCAAGGCGACGAUACAUAGCCGACCUGAGAGGGUGAGCGGCCACACUGGGACGGAGACACGGCCCAGACGCCUACGGGAGGCAGCAGUAGGGAAUCUUCGGCAAUGGACGGAAAUCUGACCGAGCAACGCCGCGUGAGUGAAGAAGGGUUUCGGAUCGUAAAGCUCUGUUGUAAGAGAAGAACGAGUGUGAGAGUGGAAAGUUCACACUGUGACGGUAUCUUACCAGAAAGGGACGGCUAACUACGUG